GGCUUCUUUCCUACUUGCUGAUUCCUACUUGGCAACACUCAUGCAGUGGAAAUUUCUCCCAGGUUGAAGGAGGAGGCCAGGCCAGGGAAUCAGGAUCUAUGAGGACCUCUGCUGUGUCUCUCUGGAUGAGCUGAGUCACCUCUCUGAUCUGUGUUUCCCUCUUCAGUCACACAAGGGGACUGAGUUAGCUCAAACAUUGCUCUGUGAGCACCGUGGGACAGAGUAUGCGACAAGAUGAGAAUAUUUGUUAUUCAGAAAAACACUGUGUAAAGGAUUAUAUGGUCUGGAAGCCCACACUGGCCACACCAUGGCUCAGCAUGCCCUGCCACACCACCCACCAGCCUCUGUUGCCCUGGAGAGACCAUCUCUUCUUCCUUCCUGUCACCUCUACUCCCAGCCUUCACC
RNAcentral lists this long non-coding RNA (405 nucleotides) under Heterocephalus glaber (naked mole-rat). RNAcentral's name for it is "lncRNA (ENSHGLG00100036888.1)". Lineage: Eukaryota; Metazoa; Chordata; Mammalia; Rodentia; Bathyergidae. The record is from RNAcentral.